GCCCACUCUCAUUGUGUCGUCUUCUUCCUUUCUCCCUUAUCCUCUCCAUACGGGAAUAGUCUAGGUAUCACAAUCUAAGGCGCUCUUCGUCCUUCACCAAGGAAUCGAACGGCUCAAAUCAAGUUUCCGUUGAGAAUUGGUACAUUUCAGCUGGCCGACCUAUUCGAAUUUGAAUUUUGAAUUUUGAAUUUUAUCCCCUUUCCUCAUCCGAUUUCCCCCCAUUUUUAACCUAGUUCUUACCCUAUAAAUACCCUUUUUCUUCAU
This 264-nucleotide unclassified non-coding RNA is filed under the name Hevea brasiliensis (rubber tree). The record is from RNAcentral. Lineage: Eukaryota; Viridiplantae; Streptophyta; Magnoliopsida; Malpighiales; Euphorbiaceae.